RNAcentral lists this long non-coding RNA (704 nucleotides) under Pogona vitticeps (central bearded dragon). Its description in RNAcentral is "lncRNA (ENSPVIG00000020115.1)". Lineage: Eukaryota; Metazoa; Chordata; Lepidosauria; Squamata; Agamidae. The record is from RNAcentral.
UGCCACAGUGACCCGGUGACACGCGCACACACACACACCCGCGCAAGAUUGGCCAAGGCGGCGAUCGGGACCCGGUGGAGCGCUGCAACCUUGCUCACGACUUGGUCUCUUUGUCGCCGCUUGCGAGCCGGAGGGGGGGAUCCGGAGUAGACAGCCUCCCUGAGGGUACCUGUGUUAGCCGAGUGAGCGCUCGGGAUGAUGGCUAAGAUCAACCUCGGCGGAGGUCGCUUCUUUCGGAUUGAUCCAUUCGGAUUAGAAGUGACCGCGGGUUCAACGGCGGUGCCAGUAGGGCCUCCGAAGCAGACUCUUCUCUCCAAGAUUGUUUAAGUUCCUUGAGAAGUAUGCAGUCUUUUCACAAGCUGGCUUCCCUGGCAUUCUUACAUGUUCAAUCCACACAGGAAAAAAGAGAAGACAUCAACCAUCUAUCCAGUGAUCUGGAGGAAAGAGGGAAGAGAUUACUUGUGUGCUGACAUUCUAUCAGUGACUGGCCUUUUGCUCAAAAAAAUAAAAUACAAUGGACUCUUAUUACAUCUGCAAGCGUCUGCAUCCUCAGUUUGAUGAAUGAAAUGUAGCUCGGUGGGUCUUGCAUUUUGGCUGACGAAAAUGUCGGUUUGCCAGUUGUUCUCUCCAGCGUUCUUCUGGGCUAAGCACUGCAGUUUUAAAAGCACUGUAGAUCAUUUUUUUUUUGAGUUAUUGAAACAUUU